AUGGGAACGCGAAGAACCUUACCUAGACUUGACAUCUUCUGCAUUAAUCGUAAUGGAUGAAAUCCCUUCGGGGACAGAAUGACAGGUGGUGCAUGGUUGUCGUCAGCUCGUGUCGUGAGAUGUUGGGUUAAGUCCCGCAACGAGCGCAACCCCUAUUAUUAGUUGCUAACAUUAAGUUGAGCACUCUAGUGAGACUGCCCGGGUUAACCGGGAGGAAGGUGGGGAUGACAUCAAAUCAUCAUGCCCCUUAUGUCUAGGGCUACACACGUGCUACAAUGGUGGGAACAAAGAGAUGCAAUACCGCAAGGUGGAGCUAAACUCAAAACCCCAUCCCAGUUCGGAUUGUAGGCUGAAACUCGCCUACAUGAAGCUGGAGUUGCUAGUAAUCGCGAAUCAGAAUGUCGCGGUGAAUACGUUCCCGGGUCUUGUACACACCG
Molecule: ribosomal RNA, 437 nt
Filed under: uncultured bacterium
Lineage: Bacteria
Description: bacterial SSU rRNA
Rfam family: Bacterial small subunit ribosomal RNA
Source: RNAcentral